Long non-coding RNA from Mauremys reevesii (Reeves's turtle), 398 nucleotides. RefSeq lists it as uncharacterized. The transcript is spliced from 3 exons. Lineage: Eukaryota; Metazoa; Chordata; Testudines; Geoemydidae. The record is from RefSeq and is a predicted model, not a curated record.
GUUGUUUCAGGCAGAUUACAAAGAUUCUUGAAAGCCAGCUGCACUGGCCUGCAGUUUGAAACUUCAGGCAUCUCUAUACCCUGAAAUCUACCUGAGCAGGAUGUCUAUCUGCAAUCAAGAAGAAAAAGAGGAGGAUCAGUCAGGUAGACACUGCUGUCCUUGCCCCCUAAGUCUACCAUUAUCACGGAUAAGAGGACUUCUUCCUCAAGAUCAUCUGGUAAACAGCCGCUUACGGUUUUUGCAUAAGUGAUCCAGGACAGACUGGUCCAAACAAUGCCAGGUGUCGACCAGAUUCUUUGGGAACAAAAUGGCAAAAGAACACAAAAGUUACAAGUGAUAGAACAACCUUCUGUUGCAAGCAUUCCAGAGAAAAUUUAAAUCAUUCUCCUCCUAAAUGA